This is a long non-coding RNA of Acinonyx jubatus (cheetah), 2475 nucleotides long. RefSeq lists it as uncharacterized. Lineage: Eukaryota; Metazoa; Chordata; Mammalia; Carnivora; Felidae. The record is from RefSeq and is a predicted model, not a curated record. The transcript is spliced from 3 exons.
UUCACAUAGUAAGCACUCAAUAAAUGUUUUUGCUUUUGAAUGAAACUUCAUUAAAGGCUCUAACUCUACUAUGGUGAACACAUUGUGAGAUCAAAAUGUUGCCAAGUAGACUGUACCUGUGACUCAGUGAAGCCUAACCCAGACCGACAGAGAAAUUGAUGGAAUGUUAAUUGAUAGCAGCUGGAUGACUGGCAUGAGUGCAGCCACAGGAAAGGGCCAAGGAUCUCUCAGGGAGUAUAAAAUUUACAUUUACUAAAGACCCCAGAGGCUUUUUAAUGAGAAUGACCUCUGGUUAAAAUUAGAGUGAAGGGGAAAUAAAGAUAGUAAUUUGGGGACUUUGGGUCUUAGCAUAUUUUCCACUUAAUAGCCAGUGACUUAGAAAAUGAAACUCAUGGAAUUCUCAUAAUAGUAAUGACUUGGCCUUAAUGAUUUCAAAAGCCCCAUUAGGUGGGUUCACGACUUGUUGGUUAGCAACACUGGAAAAUAUACUAGGUGGAGAAAACAUGGAUAAGUCCUCAAAUUUAAACACUCUUAUCAGUGUCUUGGCUGGUAGAAAACAGGCUGUGUUGAUCAGGCCUUGUAGAAUAGACCAAGAGGGUUUGUUUACUCCUUGGAAUUGAGCUUGAGGUGGAUAAGAUCAGAGUUUCAGAUCACUAGCUGGGUGUACAUCUAUAAAGAUCUCCCACUAUGUGAAAAUUCCCGAGUUGAUAUCUGAAUAAAGUGACAGGGCCAAACCUUACUACAGCUUCUAAGAUAUGUUUUAGUGGAAGCCCCAGAUGAUCUCCUUUCCUCAAGAGAAAUUGGUAAUCAUCCUGUCUACUAAAUGAGGCAUUGGUUUGUUAAUAUAAAGUUGGUUGAUGCACCUAUACUGAAAUAUACUAGUUUGACUUUGGGAAUGUUUGAAAUGUUAAAUAUGGUUAGUGCCUAAAUCUAUAGUGAUGGGUUCUUUUAUUUUUUCCUCCCUGACACAUACCUUUAUUUCCUAGAGCAUUUUACAGCAAAUUCCUGACAUUAUAGUACUUCAUCUGUAAAUGCUUUAGAAUUCUGGCUACUGCUGAAAAGGGUCAAUAUUUUACGCAGCUGGUCCAAUAGAGGAAGCCACAAGACAUGAACCUGCUCCAUCAUAAUGCCUCCUCACCUACUGACAGUAACAUGUGCAUAGUAAUUUCUAUGUGUUUGUGUGUGAGUUGACACCAGAGGGCCUCAGGAAGAAAAAGGAGGGAAAAUCAUAUAUUCAGCUUACAUUGGGGUGUAACUCUGAGGGAGAUGAGAUUUACAAGCAGUGAUACCCUUUUUGCCCUGUUUUCCUAAAUCCGUCUGUGUGGGAAAAUUUCUUCUGGAAAUCACUGAUGCCUACAGAUUAUUAUCUCGGGUGGAGUAGGGCUGAGGGAGGAGAUACUGUAUAUAGAAGGUGAAAUUUUCUGUAAACAGGUGGAUAUCAGAUGGUUCUGAAAUUGGAAGGGCCAUGUGAGAAUUUGGCAUGGAGCUGGCAAGAAACCACACAAAAGAAGAGUGGGACUUUUCUAAAAGGUUCAAGAAAUAUCAAACAGGAGACUGAAUCUCUUACAAUUACCUGAGAUGGAGGCACAACCACCUCUCAGCAGCCAAAGAUAGUGACUAGACAGUAGAACACUGUAUCUGGCUACUAUCAAGAAGACACCGUGUGUUCAAGACCUUGCAUCCAGCUGCAACCAUCUGAAACCUAUAGCAAGAAGGAUCGCUCCAGCAGCUGGAUGAAGUCUUUGAUAAAGGGAGGCAACAAUGGAGGCUGGAAGUCAGACAAAAAGAGGAGGCUCUGGCAUUACCUGAGGUAUGAAUUGGAUUCACACAGCAAUGGUGAGGCUGGAGAAAAGAGGUGGAAACCUUGAUAUAGUUUGAAGAUAAACUUCUAGGAUAUAGCAUCCAGGUGAAUGGAGAGGGCUGGAGAUACUUCAAGGGAGUUGUCAGCAUAGAGAUGGGACUGAAUGAGAUAUCUGAAGAGGGAAUGUAGUUAGAGGGAAGAAGAGGUCUUAGGGUUGAACUCUGGGACACCACAGUGUUUAGAGGUUGGGAAGAGGAGGAAGAGCCACCCAAAACAAUGGAGAAGAAGUGAACAGUGAUGGAAAAGGAAGACCAAAAAGUGUGGCAUCCUGGCCAAAGCCAAGUGAAGGAAGUGUUUCAUGAAGGAGUGUAGCAUCAACCACAUCAAAUGCUGUUGAGAGAAUGAGUAGCAUGGGUCAGAUGAUUGAGGAUUAACCAUUGGAUUCAACAACAUUGCAAUUGUUGACAAUUUGGCAAGAGCUAUUUAGGGGAGUGAUGGCAAUUACAUGAAUGAGAAAAGGGGGUGUGGAGAUAGCAGGUAGAACUAAUGCUUUCUGGGAGUUUUUCAGAGAAGUGGCCUGGAGAAGGAUAUUGAUAAAGAAAUUUUUUAUUUUAUUGAGACAGAGUGCGUGCAUGUGCUUGCAAGUGCAUGAGUGGGGAGGGGCAGAGAGAGAG